Molecule: small nuclear RNA, 74 nt
Filed under: Cervus elaphus hippelaphus
Lineage: Eukaryota; Metazoa; Chordata; Mammalia; Artiodactyla; Cervidae
Rfam family: Small nucleolar RNA U3
About the family: Small nucleolar RNAs (snoRNAs) are involved in the processing and modification of rRNA in the nucleolus.
Source: RNAcentral
AAGACUGUAUUUUCAGGGAUCAUUUCUAUGGUUUGUUACUAGAGAAGUUUCUCUGAACACGUAGAGCACCCAAA